CUCGCUUCCCUCCCUCCCUCUCCCUCCCUCCCUUCCUCUCUCGGCUCGCACUUCCCUCCCUUUCUUCCCUUUCCACUGCACUGAAAUACUUCCUCUCUCUUUUUGAGCGGUUUCUCUCUGUUUGUGCCCAUGGAAUCAGAGAAGCGCUUUCCAAGCAGCUCUGCUUCUUCGCCCGCGUGGCCGGAGAGGCUGGUUAGUGAGGCGGAUCGGCUGGUGAGGACAGAGAUUGAAGCGGCGGAGACCCUCGCUGACUUGGCCCGGUUGGCGAUGCUCGAGACUGCCCCUGACUCCGGUGAGAAACGGUGGAAGAAAGGCAAACAAGGCAAGAGGCGGCUAGCGCGCGAGUCACCGACCGAUGACUCGUUGUUGAACGGGCUCGACUCAGUCUCAAAGUGUCCGGAUCUCUCUCGGAACCAAGCUGUUGAAGGUCAUCAGCCACAUCAACAAAUAUCUACAAGUGAACCAAAAAGGAUUCAACAGGAUGUCUGCUCAGGACAAGUGAAGAUGGAGGAGGAUGCUGAUUUAACUAAGACAAGCAUCUUAUGCAGAAGUUACUCUUUGGUUGGCUGCAGCAAGUCAAGGCGUAAUUUAACUGAGGAAGAAAAGGAGGCACGGAGGAUACGCAGGGUAUUGGCAAACAGAGAGUCAGCUAGGCAGACAAUUCGUCGUAGGCAGGCACUUUGUGAGGAGUUAACCAGAAAAGCUGCCAAUUUAGCAGUGGAGAAUGAAAACCUGAAGAGGGAGAAGGAGUUGGCUUUGAAAGAGUAUCAAUCUUUGGAGAACACAAAUAAGCACUUGAAGGCACAAAUAGCCAAGUCUGCAAGUACCAUGGUGGAGAGAACUCCUGAGGAGCAUGACUUGCCUGUAUCUGAGAUAACAUCUUCCUCGAGUAAUGGUCCAUGGUUCCUUUGUGGCCAUUUCCCAGUAACACAGUUAUUUUGGCCUUCUGUCAUCCAGUCUUCAAAUUCUGUUCAAUUUCAGCAUACGCCUCAUAGUUCCACUCCCAUACCAUCAAAUAUUUCUUUACCGUUGUCUUCUGAGACUGACUUAUGUCACAAACAAAAUAACCUUAUACAGGACAAUGAAAUACAAAAUCCAUUAUACCUGUUUCCGUGUCCUUGGUUCUUCCCACCUCCAGAGUCUGGACAUGGACAAGCGCCACCCUCCCUUGGCCUUAAAGAUAAACAAGAUAAGUAUCCUGUAGGUAAACCAUGUAGGAUUAGUUCAUCUACGAAUACAACGGCAAAUAAGGACAACCAAGCUACUUUACCUUUCAAAAUCAAAACAGAAGCUUCUGGCUUAACAGAAGCCAGACCUAUUGAUGAUCCAAAUCACGCCAGUCCUAAGUUUUCUUUGGAUGGAGAUCAGCAGCGAAGAGGAUGUCACAUGAUGGAAGGAUAUCAUGGACAUUCCCUUGGUAUUUGUCACCCUACUGCUGUCAAGGAAGAACAUUGCCUUCAGUUACAUCCUGCUCGCGAUGCUGAGGUAUCUUCAACAGCUUCUUAUACUGCAAAUUCUUUGCUGGAAAAGAAACAAGAACAAGUGGAUGCAAUUGCUGCAGCUGAGGCCAGGAAGAGGAGAAAGGAGCUUACAAAGCUAAAAAGCAUUCACAGUCGCCAAUGUCGGUUGCAAUGUUGACUAAUAAGUCAACUUAAUUAAAAGAUUUAAGGGGAAUCAAUGAUAUAUCCGUUACCAGCGCUUCUGCGAUUGCUUAUCACUUGAUAAAAGAAGUCAUUUGAAAUUGAGCAGAACACCUGGGCGAAACAGGGGAGGCCAGUGAAGGAAGAGAUGCAAAGUUCAAAACGUUUUUGACAGCGUUAAAGGUUUGAGAUUAUCUACUUCCAUUGUGGUUUCCUAUUUUCUUUUUUUAGGAAGGUUGCCAGAAAUUUCGGCGAUCAUUUUUUUUUUAAAUUUUCGGUAGAUAAUGCUUUGAGGAUAAUUCAGGCAUUUCAAUAAACAAACAGCACAUGCAGGAGGAUGGACAGGAUACGGAUUUUUUUUGUUAAUCCCGUCAUUGAGAUUUCUUUCAGCGGCAAACAAAUUCUUGAGAAUGUAGAGCUCGAAAUACACUCGUACAGUUAGCCAGUUAUCGAAUGGUAUGCUAUGGAGUUGGAGUUGGCAUUUGUCAUCCUAGUCUUGGGCCUCAGCCAAUGUUCAAGUUGCUUGGAUUGUUUCAUUUUCAUUUUUUCAUGCGCUGAUCUUAUCUUAGAAUGUAUAAUGGUUAAUGGCUUGAAAAACAAUGUAGGGAUCACCAGUCAAACCUUCGCCCGAAACAAACCCCCCCCCCAAAAAAAACCCGAAAAAAAAAAGAAGAAGAAGUGAAAAAAAAGAAAGAAGUUAAAGCCAAUUGCAAAACUGGACCUCGUUGUAUCCUGAUGAAAACGAAAAACGAAAUUCUUCGAAAGUUAGUUUUUUGAGGUUAUGAAGGCGGGGUGGAAGAAGCUUAAGUUCCACGGGGUGGAGAAGGCGGCCUAUAUACAAUAAUAGGACUUCUAACGUUGUGUCUAGAGUCACUCCAUUCGAGCAAUGCGUAAUAUAUCCGCGUCUCCUUUGGCAUUGGAGGCCCGUACAUCACGACCUUGAAUAUCUUCGUUUGGUGCAACUGAGAAAACUGCAACGUAUCUGGUAUAACUCGCACAGAAAGACCCCUAGGUGCCGUGACUUUAGCCUUGUACGUUGAAUUCCCAUAUCCCACAUUAGUCACCGUUCGAUGAAACACUGCCGAGAUGCUAGAAUUAUGAGCCAUGAGGUGGAUAUGCAUGGUGGGGUAGUUGAUUCCAUCGCUGCCAGGCUGAGGCUUAACGGUGGAGCAAUUGACCCUUUUGCUUCCAACUAGCAGACCAAUGACGGUGUUGUUGUAACCGCGUUUGCAUAAGAAAGAAACAUAAGAGUCUAUUCCAAUGUCGUACACCAGUCCAGGAUGCACGGCUCCUGUUGGAUUAAUCUGUCCUGAGCCAGCUCCCAGCUCCACCAGCUUGUCUCGACCAAUUUUCAUUGGGGUGGCUGAAUCGUAGAGAUGAAAGUUAUAGGUUAGAAAGUGAAGAAGUCGAUAAUGGCCGCUUGGAUGGAAGAGAAAUUUAUACUAAUGGAGAUUCUUAUUCUCACCGGUGGUCAUGAGGGCAGAUUUGAUAGCAGCAGGAGUCCAGUCUGGGUGGAAGGACUUGACAUAAGCAGCAGCUGCAGUGACAUGUGGGCAAGACAUAGAUGUUCCCGAUAGUAUGUUGAAGACGUUGUGCCUCAUGUCUUCCGGGUACCCUGUUAUCGUUGUCAGUUUGGAAUAAGCGGCCAAUAUGUCCACUCCCGGAGCAACUAAGUCAGGCUGUGCACAGAGAACGUAGAAACUUACAGUUGUUAAACCAGAGGAAGCAAGAUAUACAUGUACAUUUAUAAAUAUACCCCCCACACACACACACACAUAUGGAGAGAGAGAGAGAGAGAGAUCACCUUGAGGAUGUGAGGGCUGAGAAUAUGAGGACCUCUGGAUGAGAAGGAAGCAAGAAAAGGAGCUGGGACUCUUCUAGUUGUUGUCUUGUGUAUAAUAGCUCGAGGAUUCCUGAAUUUGUUUAAUCUUAUUCAGACUUGAAGUUCCAGUAUAAUCAGUUUAGCUAAUGGCCUAAAAAGUGCUAGUGAAUGAAA
Molecule: RNA transcript, 3636 nt
Organism: Prosopis cineraria
Lineage: Eukaryota; Viridiplantae; Streptophyta; Magnoliopsida; Fabales; Fabaceae
Exons: 7
Source: RefSeq, a predicted model, not a curated record